Molecule: long non-coding RNA, 4966 nt
Filed under: Taeniopygia guttata (zebra finch)
Lineage: Eukaryota; Metazoa; Chordata; Aves; Passeriformes; Estrildidae
Description: lncRNA (ENSTGUG00000024256.1)
Source: RNAcentral
UUUUUGACCUGCUAUAAAAGAUACAAACAGUUUUACAGAAUGCCCCGUGCAACAGGGAUAUAAAUAAAUUAAUUUUGUAUGUCUCUAUUAUGAAACAAUAAAGUAUGUGAUGGUUCUGAAAAAAAAAGUACAAGACAGCAUCUCUCCUUAAUUAUCAUCUCCUGCCCUGGAGUAUCUUCUACCAUUACUACUUUUCCCAGAUUCAUCCAGUAAGAGGAAAACUCUGUCCUGCUAGGAUGACAAAAGUCUCAUAACAAAAACAUCUUUAUUAAACUCCAGGGCAGAGGUAGAGUGCCUCCCUGUAAAAAUGAAAUACUGAUUAAGCAAACUGUCAACAAGCUGAUUACAUAACAGAACAGAUUAUCCACAAAAGAGCAGAAAAUCUUGCAUUCUUGUACUUUUGCUCAGGCUUUCCCACAUAUCCGUCUGCACAGCACAUUCAUUACAAACCCACUGAAAACCAGCAAAUCUGUAUUAACUGAACAUGAAGCCAGCACUGCAAAAUUCAAAAGGUGCAAAACCAAGGCCGAAAACUCAACCCUGCUUCUCUGGAUGGGCACAUCACAAGGCAAAAUGACCACAUGAGAAUACAUUAAAACAAAGAGCAGUGAGCCAGUCACACAUCUCCUUUCUUGGUUCUGUAGAAUCAUUGAACAGCUCCCACUCAGGUCCAAUUCAUCUUAUCUGCACUCGACAGUAAGGAACCACAGAUGUCCAUCAAUUCCUGUCAUUCUGCCAUGCCUCAGUAACAAUGGACAAAGGAGUUAAUCUCUUCUCACUUUCUAGCUUCUCACACAGGUGUACAGACAAUGGCAGUCAUUUUCUUUUAGAUUCUAGUCUGACACACUCAUUUUACGUUUGUGCUCUGACAUUUUUACUCCAGGAUCUCCAUCUGUUCCUCCUCUUCAUUACUAGGCUAAAAAGCAUCUCUGUUUUAUUAAUGUAUCUGUCUGACCUAAAUUUUCCCCAACACCUGUCUGCCUUUCUCAGAUCCAAAUCUAAAGAACUCCCAAUUACAGUUUUCUCUGUGAAAAGUUGCACUCUGGAUAAAUGACAAGUCACCCAAAUUUGACAGGCAACAGAGAGAAGCAAAAUCUUACACAUCUGCCAUUUAAAAUAAAUGUAAUUCUACUUUUUCAAAAUUAGAAAUAUGUUUGAUGAACACAUUUUUAUUUCUUCCACUGUUCAUCUCCUCAACCCCAAACAGCAUUUUAAAAUACUUGAUUAAGAAAAAACUAUAGAGGUCAUCAGAAAAUAGGCAGGGUGACUUUUCAGAUGAGUUCAUAACAUGAAGAGUAAUUGUCAUUUAUAGCUAAAUAGUUUAGAAGAGCAUCAAAAAAGUAAACAUUUUGACUUGACCAAUUUACAUAAAUGGUAAUGUCUAUGUUGGCAUUAGGUUAUCUCUUCCUUGAUCAGCUUUCUACCCUUGGAAAAGUCAUGAGAGUGACCCUACCCCUUCAGUUCUUUCAUAUGCAGAUACUGUACUCUUUUUCCUCCCUCUCUAUUUGGUAGCAGUGCAGACUAGAACUUCAAGCUGUCAAAGGCUCUGGUUACAGACAGUUACCCUAAGUAACACAGCUGUGACCAGCUUGGUUUCCAAAGCGUAAAAAAAAAAAAAAAAAAAAAAAAAAGGUAGUCUCAAAUUUUCUUUGAUGGAGAAUCAGCUAACACAAAGAAGAGAAUUUCCAGCCAGACAUACUGCAUAAAAUAGCAGCACAAAGAGCCUGAUUCUGUAAGCACAAAACACUUCCCAACACACCACUAAAUAUAACAUCAAAGCAAUAAAAAAUUGCAUUGAAGUGCUAAGCACUGAGGCAGCAAAUACCUCCCUCAUGAUCAGUACUCCAGCUCUGUAUCAUCAUUUGACAAAGUCUCAAAACUCAGCACAUGUUAAUGGGUCAUAAAUACCCAGCUGCUCAGGGACAGCUACUUUGCCUUGUGUGCAAGCUGUUUCUACAAAUGUCCACAAAAAUGUAUGAAGGCCUACAAAAAUGCCUGGGAAGUAACAGUGCACAAAGCUAUUUGCCAUCUACACAGAGGACAGAAGGAGGUCAAAUUCAAACCAUCACCAGAGAGAAGCAGUGGAGAAAUGCCUGGCAUUCUAGGGAAAAGGGAAAAGCUCAAUCCAGUCCUGCAAAGAUAAACAAGCAGCAAGAAAAAAUGCAGAAGUGAGGUUAAAGAUCCUGCUGAUCUGCUAAGUGACUAGCAGCAAGGUGGGGAGGGGAGGAAAGAAAAUGAAAAUUUAUCUGGGACUCUUCAGGUUCUCUCCACUAUGAGGAUCACAGCUUUGCACAGAGAGCUCCAGAAGUUAUUGGUUGCUGUCACCUCACAAUGCAUGCUUCAGUAGUAUGCUGGGGUCUUAAAUGCUUUUCUUUCAAAGAUAUCACCCAAAGAUAUACAAAGAAAUGACAACUUUGAUAUUCUUAAAGCAUUCAGAACACAAUAGGACAGAACUGAUAUUGAAAUCUAAUUUUUAAGCAUACUAUCUACAUGCAGUCCUCCAGUUUAGUUUAAGAAUAUUUCAAAGUCAGUGUUAGAGGUGCUGACUCACAGUUUUUUUUUCAUACAAUUGAUAGUGAAUUGUUUUACAUAAAUGUAAUAAUUGACUGGAAAGUAAUUCCUGUCUCCUUACUUUUAUAAAACAAUCUUUACCACUAACAGAGGCUGCUGCAAGUCAUAACUCUAAUAGGAAAGACAUAAAUACUAAUACAUAUAUAAGGCUUUUAAACCCACUGUCACAGAGAGGAAAAAAAACAAUCCAUGAAGAUUCAUGAACAUUUCAUUCUUGUGAAACUACAAAUGUCAGAGUAAGUCAAAAUCAUUUGAAUAUCACAGAAAGUAGUGAAUAUAACUCUUCCACUGUUAACAUCUUUCUGCAUCCUUUAUAAUGUAUCAUGAGGACAUAUCAGCUUUGAAAAAAUUGAAGAACCAUAUUCUUUUUUUCUCCAUUAGAUAAUUCAAGCCUGCUUAUUAAAACCUUGUACUUAAACUCCGUUCAGUAAGGAGCCAGGAGAGAAGAAACUGAGUUAAAAAAUGUCUGAAGUUUGAGAAUUAAAUAUUUGUAAUUAAAAGUUGAAAAAUAAGUCACGUAAAAUUUCCUGAAAACUGGGUCUUUUUUGAAAAACAACCUCUGAGUUUUUCAGCUUAAUCAUCUUCCUCUCAGACUGACUUUCCUAGAAUAUAAAGACCUUGUUCCAAAACAUCAUUUUAUGUCUCUCAUACCAAUGCCUUCUGCAACUUUAGCACUACCAUACCUCAGGUUACAGUAAGAUGGGAUGCAACCAAGGUCAGCCUCUAACUAGGACAACUGUGUUUGAUGAGUCUAAAAUAUCUCUAUAAGUUCACCAAUAAAGUAGUGAAUAAAGGAGAACUAGAUGGCAUUUGGUGAUGAAAGUUGAAUUAAGUUUACCCUUAGCCAUUGCAGCUGGAAAAAAAAAAAAAAUAGAAACAGUAGGCUAUUUGGAGAUGGCAUAACAUGAACAUGGUUAUCCCCACCACAGUUUGUUAUGUCUGAGGUAUGAUAGUCAAUUUAGAUAACUGAGUGACUUAAAAUGACAAAGAUUGGGAGUUUACUCUUUGCCAAAUUAAAGAAUUGUGAAAUUUACUUGACAACUUAUUUGUGAAUGUUUUGGAAAAGGGGACUCUAUUCACUCAUCCCAUAGAAAAAAAAAAGGAUAAAUAAAAUCAAAAGAUUCCUUAGUCAUUCUCAACAUUAUGAAGAAGGCACAGAAAUGACAAUCACUGAAGGCAGCAAGUCAGACAUUUUGAACAGAGGGUUACAAUGACUGGAAUCACAUGUCCUCAGAGAGCAGCACAAGAUACAUGAGGAGCUGACAGCAGAGCACCCUACACAACCUGCAGUAGGUACAGAAGCCUUUAAAUUCUCCUAAGUGUAACUACAAACUAGGUACCAGUAAAGACCUUUAGGUGUCAGAGCAGAUAAGAAGUGCAAAGUGAGACGGCAACAAAUAGUCCUAGUACAUCCAUCUAAAAAGACCUAAAAAACCAAAAACAUUGUAAUUUUCCUGUUGUUGCAUGACAAGAAGAAGUAGUACGUGACCAAAUUUGCUUCUAAGAGUGCAAAUAAAUUAACCUUUUUUAUGGUGAACCCUAGCACAAUAGGUACAUUACCUUCAGUUACUAAACAAAUUGGCAACUCUGGAAUAGUUUUGUCCUCCAAAGCGCUCCCCCACAUUUAAACGUAUCUAUAGAUACAGAUAAAUAUCCUUUAGCUCAUAAAGCACCUCUGUUUAUUCAGUAAGUUCAGUCUGACAUUUCUCAUCUUGCAUUUUGGAGCACAAAAACAAGGCUUAUUCAAGAAUGCUGGUGGGCAUGAAAAAAAUACACCUCCUUGACAUAAAAGCCAAGCUUUUAAUUUCAGCACUCAAGUGAAUUUAUUCAGCUGAGAACCAGGGAAUGCUAAAUACCGUGGCCCUCACAGAUGCUAUUCCUGUAUUAACUGUACUACACUGGAAAUGCAGCUACUGGCAUUAACAGGGACUAGGCUUGCUCAGGCACCAGACACCAUGAAAUCUUAUCAGUUCACUGCUUUAUCUAAGGCAAUUAGCUUUGUUGAGAGGCAAAGUUUAUUAGCUUAAAGUAAUGCUGUGCUUACAACACCAAAUUGCUUCUAAGACUUCACAUGUUACAUCUGCAGAGAACUGAUGAGCUGCAUGAAUAUAAAUCUACUGGGGAAGCACAAUGCUGCAAGAUUUAGGCUGACCUCAGAGGAUACUCACAAUUAUAACUAUCUUCAAAGUAACCACACACCAAGAAUGCAAAGAGGCUGACAACAAGACAAAAAAUGGAGUUGGCUUCACACUAAUGAAAUGACAAGGAGCCACCUGCAGACAGUCUCCACAGGGAAAAAAAAAAAUCUAUUUUUUAAAGUUUUAUUUUUCUGGCAGCAAACUCAUUACAUUCAUAUAUACACAUACAACCCAAUAGGCACAGAUUAAGAUUACUA